CAAGUGCGGCAAGAAUGUAAUUAUAAGGGUCAGACUCUGCUGCUCUGGAGUGCAGAGGGAGAGGGGAGGAGGUGGUCCUUUCCCUUGGAAGAAUCGACACGAGGACCCCAAUUCUCCCUCUGUAAACCUGGAAAAGAGAGCCCUUUGAUAAAUUUUGGUGUUUUCAUUCUCUCUCAUGGAGUUGCUCUGGAUCCCACGGCUGUGGAUCCCUGUGGAGUGGUGACAUAAUUGAAAGGAGCCCUCAAAUAUCUCCAUUUGCACUAAGCAGUUUUUGUGUGCCAUGUGGCUGUAAGUAAGUGAUGCUUGAAACCACAGCAGUCAUUUUGGAGCCACGAGGCAAUAAGCACAAGGAUUAAAAAGCCAAGACCCAAAGAUGGAGAAUCACGGGUGUAAUGAACCUGGAUGAUAUGAUAUGGCAGAGUCCUGAACUGCUAGACUUCUUAUUAGCAUUUCUUUCUGAAGUGCCAUACUGCAACCUUCCUGACAGCCCAGGAUCUCUGCUAAGGGUAAAACGUAGUUUCAACUGAGAGAUCAAGGAUACCAUAUAUGGAAGCACUUUGUAUAGAAGGAAGCUCAAGAUUGUCAUUAAAAUGUUGGCAGCAUCAUUGGAAGACAGACAUACUAUCAUCUUGGAACAAAGAUUGGGCUAAAAUAAUCCAGAAUGAGGAAAAUUGUUUAAAAGAAUUAUCUACACCAAGUAGAAAUUCAUCAGCAUUUUGUGUAAAAGAAAGACGGAAGGUCAGAGGUAAUGUACCUUUCGUUUAUACUGUGUUCAAACGUAGCAUUUCUCAAUGGGUAUACUAUUGAUAAUUUGGCAGUGCUGUGUUAUACAAAAUUUUUCCACAUUGGCAGACACCUGGCAUCCCCGGCGCUUCCUCCAAGGUGCCAGCAGCACCCUCAGUCGUCGUAAAACUAAGAAAGUCCUGAGAAACGCUGCUCUAAUGCUUCAGAGUGCAUGUGAAUAAGUUAUUUCCUUUAAUCAGCAUAAUGAUUCAAAAUAUUUGUAACAUUUUCACUCUUCAGAUGAUGAACUGAGACUGAAAAUGAAUUGCUGGCUUUUUCACCUAUCUAGUGAAGGAUGCUACUGGGCCUCAAACUCGAAUAGGCUGAUUCCUAAUUCAGUUCUUCCUCACAAUAUUGUGCUAUCUUUCAGUGGAGGCAGAGAUUUAUAUUUGAUUUCAUCAACUAAAACAUAUGUGCACCUGAACUUUUGUUGUUAUUUAUAGUCUAACUAUCUUCUAAGGAACAUAGAUUCUGUCAAACAGAGCACACUUUGUUCCGCUGAGGGCCUUGAUGGACAACUUAGCGGUAGGAGCUAAGGGGAACUGGGCUAAUUUGUCUGAUAGAGGGAGAAGGUCAUGGAGCUCCCAGGGAAAAUAAGGAAGGAAGAGGGAGAGGACAGAGAGCCUAGAGGACCUUGGGAAGCCUUGAACUAUAUAACAUGACCCACCCACACACUCUUACUCUGCAUCCCAAGGUAUUACUUGUACAAAGUAUUACUCAUGAAACGCUUAAAGAGUGAAUUGUCUUGUAUAAAAUGACAAAGGGCUGAGUAUUACACCUGGGUUGAGAGAGGCUGCUACAGAGCCAGUACAUAUGGACCCGGAGCCAGAGGCAGGAGGGAUUAUGAGUGUAAGUUUCCUGACAAUUAGCAAGAAUCAAGGACAGGGAUGUUCACAGGUGUGGAAUUGGUGGAUUCACCCAGACAUCUGAGACUAUGGAAGCACGAGCUCACAUCUGGGUCACAGGCAAUUCAAAUGAAGGUUGAAAUACUGCAAUGCUGCAGGGCUCUACAAUAUUUUCCAGGAAUUGUAGUCAGGAAAACUGACUUACGUCAGAGAAAACCAAGCUUGAAAUAUUUGAAGUGACUGAUGAUUUACUUCCCAGUCAGAUGAAGACCAUAGAGGAAUUCUCUGGAUAGAGUUAAAUUGAUGAGUGAGGGGCACGAUGUAGACCCAGAAAUAAACACCUGGAAGGCAUAUUUAGCCAGCGGCCCCAGAACUGUCACUUCCAUAAGCAUGGAGAGGCUUAUGGAUGGUCAUUCUCUGUAAUAAACACUGGAUGGUUCCGUAAAUCCAGAUUCCAUGAAAAUGACAAAAUGACAGAAAAGGACUGAAUCCACAUAUGGAAUAAGGACCAAAUCUUAAGCAUAAUUAUUAUCUAGUUAUGAUUGCUGCACACUGGGAUUCUUAUAUAAACAUCCAGCAUGUUCACAAUAGGAACCUGGUGAAACCUGUCUUGGAUUCCUUUGGCCACAUCACUCUGUUCAGGUUUCAAAUGAGUCUGCUCUGGUUUGUUGCUUUCUUGGAUUCAAAAUCUUCUUACUGUUAGGAAAAUAUUCCUUAUCUUUGCCUGUGCAGUAAUCUUUAUGUGAGAAACAGGAGAUGGUGUUCCCUGGAUGCCUGCACAGCUCUGCCUCUAAGAAUCUCACCGAGACCUGUGCCUGAGUGCUGCCCCCUAGGGAUUCUCUGUGGCAUUGCCCUGCAGCCGCAGGCAGGGUGCUCAUCUGCUAGGCCACCAGGUCCUUCAAGGAUCCCAACUUUCCAAACCGUCCUGAGAGAAGAAAAAAAGAAAGACCAUUACUGAUGCCAGAUUUUUGUGUUGCGUUCUUCUACUCUAAUGCUUCCACAGGAAGUCUCUCAAUUCCUCCUCACAGUUCCAAUUAUCUUGUCCAACCUCUUGCCCUAAGGCAGGCUUCGGCCUGACAUAUCCCAGACACAAUUAGUCAGUGGUUGACUCUCAUUCAAAUAAUAAUAAUAAAUCAGAAUGGCAUUGGGUUCUUUGAGGAUGAACUUGAUAGGCAUGAAAUCUCAAACAAAAUCCUGCGGCUAUGAAUCCGGGUUCCUCUCCCCGACCCCUGGGCAGAGAUUGCCUGUCCCAGCCAGCACAGAAGGAUGAGACACUCUAUAUGGCUUCCACUCUUCCCUCAGUGGCUCUGGGUUUCCACUGCAACCAGUUUAGAAUCCAAUGUUUUACAAGAAGAUGCCACAGAAGGAGCACAACUACUGCUUAGGCAGGCAACUCUCAGGUUCCCAGAAUUUAAAAGAGUUCAGAAAUUAUCCUAGAAGUCAUAGUUAAAGGGUGUUCAGGGACAAGUAUAAGGCCCACCAACAGUUCCUUCAUUAAGGGACAUUUACAGAAUGCAAUCGGAGUCCCAAAAUUCAAAGAAAAACCCCACAACCUUAAGCUAACCAUCUUUAGCUUAAUUCUCUAUAUUUGCAAGUAACUCUUUUUCUACAUUUUAAAACAUGGAUUUGAAAUUUGCAUGGCAUGGCAAUCUACCCAAGCCAAUCAUGUUGGCAAAUAUAACACUUUUUCUGGUAAAUAUUAAUAGCCUCCAACCAUCAGAAGUGAGGAAGCGUUGGGGGAAUCAAUAUAUUCCUUCCUUCACAACCUGGCUACCAGGAGUCAUAUUAUAAUGAAAAGAGGUUUCAGAAAAUAUUCUGACAAUACCUAGACAUUUAUUUACAAAGAGUCUCAAAAACAGUCUUAAACAUGGCAUGUAGCUAGGAAAGUCCCAGUCUUUAUCCUUGGGCCCUUUUUUACCUUUGAGUCUUCUGUUUUGCAUUCCCCAUAAAAGGCUUAGUUGAAUUUAGGGCAAGCAUAUUCUGAUGGCAGGUGUGUCCAGCUUUGUACGGGGUCAGGUACAGGGUUCUCUGUGAAGUGGAGGACAUAGAACCAACUUGGGGGUCUAGACUGCAAGCUUGCACCAUUUGUAUUCAGAAAGCUGGGCUUGCCAAUGCUUAUGCUUCAUUCAGGUAAGGGCAGAGUUUCCUCUCUAACAUCCCUAACCAACCAUCUGGUUUGAUUUCUACUCACCUCACCAAUUAGAAACUAUUUUAAAUAUCUGUUAUGUUAAUAAGCCUCCUGGCAUAGAUGUAGUUAAUUAUAUUUAAAUGCUAAGUGGACCAUCUUAGAAGAUGUUGGCUCUGGCUAGGGUACUUCAUCCGAGUUAACCAACUCCAGCAGUAGUUAACUGCUGGAUCCCCCAAACAGGGUAUUUUAAAUUCUAGCCUCCCCUCUUGGAGAACAGAUUAGAGUUAACUUGUCUAUACAACUACAUCACAAUGUCUCAAAUGAAACAUUUUAUUUAUUUAUUUUUCUAUUAAACCAACCAAUCAGCAGCAAAUGGAAGAAGGAUUUUAAAAUGAAAUACCAUGCAGACAAUAUAGCACUUGAGACAGUGAAGACUGCAGAGAGCAAGACAGAGUCAGAAGCAAGAUAACAGGCUUAAUGAGCUGACUUCCUGCUCUGUCUUCAGGAUCGUGAAUCUUGCUUGCCUCAGUAGAUGCUGGGUUCCAUGUAAGGGCCGGCUUUCUUUGCUGAGAUGGAUUUAUUGUACAAGAAAUAAAGCCUCACUGAGCUCUUUCUAAAA
Chlorocebus sabaeus (green monkey) is the source of this 4375-nucleotide non-coding RNA. The record is from RefSeq and is a predicted model, not a curated record. NCBI's taxonomy places the organism in Eukaryota, Metazoa, Chordata, Mammalia, Primates, Cercopithecidae.